Molecule: transfer RNA, 76 nt
Filed under: Caudoviricetes sp.
Lineage: Duplodnaviria; Heunggongvirae; Uroviricota; Caudoviricetes
Description: tRNA-Asn
Rfam family: tRNA
About the family: Transfer RNA (tRNA) molecules are approximately 80 nucleotides in length. Their secondary structure includes four short double-helical elements and three loops (D, anti-codon, and T loops).
Source: RNAcentral
GGGUUGUUAGCUCAGUUGGUAGAGCAACGGACUGUUAAUCCGCAGGUCACAGGAUCGAAGCCUGUACAGCCCUCCA